AAAAAGGUAGAUAAACCAUUGUACAACA
RNAcentral lists this non-coding RNA (28 nucleotides) under Cricetulus griseus (Chinese hamster). Lineage: Eukaryota; Metazoa; Chordata; Mammalia; Rodentia; Cricetidae. The record is from RNAcentral.